CCUACGGGGGGCAGCAGUGGGGGAUAUUGCUCAAUGGGGGAAACCCUGAAGCAGCGAAGCCGCGUGAGUGAUGAAGGAUUUCGGUUUGUAAAGCUCUAUUAGUAGGGAAGAAAAUGACAGUAUCUGACCAAUAAGCACCGGCUAACUACGUGACAGCAGCCGCGGUAAUACGGAGGGUGCAAGCGUUAUUCGGAUUGACUGGGGGUAAAGGGCGCGUAGACGGGUUCGUAAGUCAGAUGUGAAAGCCUAUGGCCCAACCCUAGGACUGCAUUUGAAACUGUGUAACUGGAGUACAGGAGGGGCAGGCGGAAUUCCUGGUGUAGCGGUGAAAUGCGUAGAUAUCAGGAGGAACACCGACUGCGAAGGCGGCCUGCUGGACUGUAACUGACGUUGAUGCUCGAAAGCGUGGGGAGCAAACAGGAUUAGAUACCCUAGUAGUC
This 440-nucleotide ribosomal RNA is filed under the name uncultured bacterium. Its description in RNAcentral is "partial 16S ribosomal RNA". It matches the Rfam family "Bacterial small subunit ribosomal RNA", at positions 338 to 795 of the family's 1533-position model. The record is from RNAcentral.